This 216-nucleotide ribosomal RNA is filed under the name Glomeromycotina sp. Its description in RNAcentral is "partial small subunit ribosomal RNA". The stretch from base 40 to 216 matches the Rfam family "Eukaryotic small subunit ribosomal RNA", at positions 686 to 864 of the family's 1831-position model. Lineage: Eukaryota; Fungi; Glomeromycota. The record is from RNAcentral.
GGGUCAGUAGGUUGGUCGUGCCACCGGUACGUACUGGUCUAACUGAUUCCUCCUUCCUGAAGAACCGUAAUGCCAUUAAUUUGGUGUUGCGGGGAAACAGGACUGUUACUUUGAAAAAAUUAGAGUGUUUAAAGCAAGCUAACGCUUGAAUACAUUAGCAUGGAAUAAUGAAAUAGGACGAUCGAUCCUAUUUUGUUGGUUUCUAGGAUUGACGUA